RNAcentral lists this non-coding RNA (94 nucleotides) under Halorhabdus utahensis DSM 12940. Its description in RNAcentral is "S15-Halobacteria ribosomal protein leader". It matches the Rfam family "S15-Halobacteria ribosomal protein leader". The record is from RNAcentral. Lineage: Archaea; Methanobacteriati; Methanobacteriota; Halobacteria; Halobacteriales; Haloarculaceae.
UACGGGAACACACGAUCGCAAAUCUGACGCGUCGCGCGGGUGACACUCACCUCAGGCCUCUUUCGCCGUGCGCGACUUGGGAUUGCGGACGUGU